Molecule: long non-coding RNA, 2857 nt
Organism: Dromaius novaehollandiae (emu)
Lineage: Eukaryota; Metazoa; Chordata; Aves; Casuariiformes; Dromaiidae
Exons: 2
Source: RefSeq, a predicted model, not a curated record
GCCGCGCUCCAGGUAACGCGCUGCGGAGCCGGGCGGCAGCCGCGGGCGCCGCCGCCGCGGCAGCCUCGGCAGCCCCGGCCCGGGCGCUCGCACCGUUAAGCAGUCACCUCCUUCCCCCCGCCGCGGGAAGGGCGGCCGCGGGCAGGCCGCCGUGUCGCGCGGCGGCGGUUGGCGGGCGGCGGUUGACGGUUGGCGGUUGGCGGUUGACCGUUGGCGACUGGCGGUUGGCGGCCGCGCGGGGCCGAGGCCGAGAGAGGCCGCGCGCGGCGGGAGCAGAGGAGGCUGCCGGCCGGGCCGCGUCCCGCGCGCAGGUGCGGUUAAGGCUGCAGGCGAUCGGCGGGAAGAGCGAGCUGCGCCGGCCGCGGGCGAGAGCCCCCGCGCCCCUUCCUGCGGCCGUGGCCCUGCGGGGCCCCCAGUGGGCAGCCCGCCUCGGCCGUUGCCGCGGUGCGUGUGGUCCCGGGGGAGCGUCGGCCUUCGCAGGACGGUCUUGUGAUGGCGGAAGUUGGACUCUUUGGCGGGUCUGGGACUUUUUUGUUUGGUUUGGUUUUUGGUUUUUUUGACCUUACCGCCCGAGGUCGGGCCGGACUGGGUCUGACGGUGGUGAACGCCUCGAUGCGGAAGGCGGCUCGUGGCGGAGGGAUGAAGUGCCGGGAGACGACAGCCGUGCUCGGAGCCGUGUGGGGGCGGGAGCCUGGGGGUCUCCCCCGUCGGCGGCGGACGGCGCGCAAGAAAACUGGAAGGCUGGAACAAGGUGUUUGUUGAGCAGGGUCCUCUCACACACAGGUGAAGCAGGUAACUGACGGGGACGUUACGUCGUCACACUUCAACCCUGUCACGCUUCAGCCCAGUAGUGUGUCCUUCGCCUGAAGACCUAAGUGCUGCUGUAACGGACAGACUCAGGUUAUGUGGGCAGCAUCUACUGCAGCCUUUUUCUGAUGCGGGGAAAGAGGGCUUAAGCCCCCAGAUCAGAAUUCCCUCGGUGUACACAUGAGCUGACAGUUGUUCCUGAGGCUGCAGUGGAUGCCUGAGCCGGGCUGGCCUUCCCAGAGCUCAGUGGAGGCCCAGGCCUAAGGGGCUGUGACUGGGGGGUGGGAAUGGCCCAGCCGGGGUUGGCCACUGAGACUGCUGCUCACUGCUCCUCUUCUCCUUGCCUGCUGGACAGGCAUCCCAGCUGCUUCUCAGUCAGCUCCUGAACCAUCGUGAUUUACAGUGCAUCAUUUUAAAGGAAUCUGAAAUAGUUUUUCCACGUGUUGAUCACAUCCCUGAGAGCUUCAAAUCUGUUUGCACAGGUUAUAAGGCUGUUGAGAGUUUUAAAAAAAUCAAAAAAAUUCCAUAGGUCUAAAAUACUGCAUUGAAAUAAUAAGCAUUCCAAAACCAAUGAAGAGUGUGCCUCUUUUUGCUCUAACAAUUUGCCCUAAAAUAGGUGCGAGUGUUCCAGCAUGCGGAAAGUGAAGGAUGGUGUAUAAACAAUUGCUUGUUUACUUUUCCCACACUCAGGAACCAGAGUAAAUGCAGCCCAAAGAAUCCUUAGAAACACUUUCUAGUCAGGGCAACAGGAACUGGAAAACAAAGCUUUGGACAUUAUUGUCCUGUUCGCUUAAAAUCAAUGCAAUUAUCCCUUAAAAUAGGUCAAUACUGUAAUCAAAUAGGAAGGUACUUAAGGAAUCACAGCAAAUGGAAAGGGCUGCUUUCCGGAUCUGUUGGGAAAGAGGGUGACGUUGAUAGCCCCUGGGCUGUUGCUCAGUUAUCCUUUCCGCUGCCCUCAGAAGCAAGCAAAUGUUAUUUUACUUGAAGGGCAUAAGAUAAACAGAAUUGUCUGGUGGCACAAAAGGAACCAGUGUUGGAGCCAGGAGAUCUCUGCUGUGCCUUGUUCUAUUGACAGGUCACCAGACCAUGUGUCUGUCUCUUUCUGUCUAACCUUUGUCAGCUUUGGUUUUACAGAGAGGUGUAGUGGUGUCACUUUCUGCUAUUUGUUGUUGUUCUCUUUUGAAGUAGAGGAGUAUUUUGGAAGAAGACACUCCAACUGAUUUUCUUCCCCUGGAUAUGUAACAUAAAGGUAGCACAUAACCUUACUCCACUAGGCUUUCUGGGCAAUGUAGGAUCAGAGCUUGCUGGCAUAACCUUGCCCUUUCUAAUUGCCUGGGUUUGGUUCUUUAGUGCUCUGGAGCUUCAAGAACAUUUAGUACAUGACUAGGGGAAGACCCCAGUUCUAGAUCCCCCGCAGCUGCUUCAUCAGCCUGUCCUAUCUGGUUCGUCAUCUCAGUGAUACCGUGUUUAUACAAUGCACAUACCCUGCAUGCACUUACAAGCCUGCUUUAUCUAUACUCACACUCAGACUCUGCCGUGAAAGUAGAUUUAGCUAUUCCUCUCCCACUGGAAAGACUUCCUGACACCCAGGGGGAUGUGGUAACUACUCUGCCUCGUUCUGCCUUGGCGUCCUUGGACCGCUGGGCCUAGGAAUCGAGCUCACGAUGCAUCAGUUCAACAUACUGGCUCCAAGUUCCUUUGCAUCUUGUUUUUCUUUUGCAGUAUCAAUGUUACUUCUGUGCAUUAUUACACUGCCUAAUCCAGUAUUGAUUUUUUUUCUUUUUUUUAAUGCAGAUUGGAAUUACUGGGUAUUAUCUGUUGUAGCUGUACUCCAUGGCUGUGGCAUAUGCCACUUUAUAACCCUACCUUUGUUUCUGAGUCCCUUGUUUAAGAAACAUCCAUGUUUUCUCAAUUCAUUCAGGAUGCUGAAAGUCUUACUGUAUCAUGCCUUAGACGCUGUGUGUAAAUAGGAGUUGCACUGCAGUUUUGCUUCCUUCUGAGCAACUGUCUCAGAAUAAACAUAUUUAUUACAUUUAUGUUUUUCUCUAAA